RNAcentral lists this ribosomal RNA (433 nucleotides) under uncultured bacterium. RNAcentral describes it as "partial 16S ribosomal RNA". It matches the Rfam family "Bacterial small subunit ribosomal RNA", at positions 29 to 506 of the family's 1533-position model. The record is from RNAcentral.
AGCGAACGCUGGCGGCAGGCCUAACACAUGCAAGUCGAACGAACCUUUCGGGGUUAGUGGCGGACGGGUGAGUAACACGUGGGAACGUGCCUUUAGGUUCGGAAUAACUCAGGGAAACUUGUGCUAAUACCGAAUGUGCCCUUCGGGGGAAAGAUUAAUCGCCUUUAGAGCGGCCCGCGUCUGAUUAGCUAGUUGGUUGAGGUAAUGGCUCACCAAGGCGGCGAUCAGUAGCUGGUCUGAGAGGAUGAUCAGCCACAUUGGGACUGGGACACGGCCCAAACUCCUACGAGAGGCAGCAGUGGGGAAUCUUGCGCAAUGGGCGAAAGCCUGACGCAGCCAUGCCGCGUGAAUGAUGAAGGUCUUAGGAUUGUAAAAUUCUUUCACCGGGGACGAUAAUGACGGUACCCGGAGAAGAAGCCCCGGCUAACUUCGU